Molecule: long non-coding RNA, 107 nt
Organism: Melitaea cinxia (Glanville fritillary)
Lineage: Eukaryota; Metazoa; Arthropoda; Insecta; Lepidoptera; Nymphalidae
Exons: 3
Source: RefSeq, a predicted model, not a curated record
UAUUUACUUUUAGCACCAUCCUCAUCAAACACGGAUCGUUGCAACAAUAGGCAAGCACCAUCCUCAUCAAACACGGAUCGUCGCAACAAUAGGCAAGCACCAUCCUC